AGUGAACGCUGGCGGUAGGCCUAACACAUGCAGGUCGAACGGCAGCACAGUAAGAGCUUGCUCUUACGGGUGGCGAGUGGCGGACGGGUGAGGAAUACAUCGGAAUCUACUUUUUCGUGGGGGAUAACGUAGGGAAACUUACGCUAAUACCGCAUACGACCUACGGGUGAAAGCGGGGGAUCUUCGGACCUUGCGCGAUUGAAUGAGCCGAUGUCGGAUUAGCUAGUUGGCGGGGUAAAGGCCCACCAAGGCGACGAUCCGUAGCUGGUCUGAGAGGAUGAUCAGCCACACUGGAACUGAGACACGGUCCAGACUCCUACGGGAGGCAGCAGUGGGGAAUAUUGGACAAUGGGCGCAAGCCUGAUCCAGCCAUACCGCGUGGGUGAAGAAGGCCUUCGGGUUGUAAAGCCCUUUUGUUGGGAAAGAAAAGCAGCAGGUUAAUACCCCGCUGUUCUGACGGUACCCAAAGAAUAAGCACCGGCUAACUUCGUG
RNAcentral lists this ribosomal RNA (492 nucleotides) under uncultured bacterium. RNAcentral's name for it is "partial 16S ribosomal RNA". It matches the Rfam family "Bacterial small subunit ribosomal RNA", at positions 29 to 507 of the family's 1533-position model. The record is from RNAcentral.